This 438-nucleotide unclassified non-coding RNA is filed under the name Phlomoides dentosa var. glabrescens. Its description in RNAcentral is "partial external transcribed spacer". Lineage: Eukaryota; Viridiplantae; Streptophyta; Magnoliopsida; Lamiales; Lamiaceae. The record is from RNAcentral.
GGGCAGCGACGACGUCUCGACCAAGCCUCUUCAGUUGUUGGUUCAAGCGCGAGCAYGCCUUGGCCGACGUCGGUUUCCUGUGCUGAAUUCCCACACAAAGGGUAACGUUUCGGCCACCAUCGUCCCGUACUCCUCCUUUCGUCGCUGCUCCGCACGGAGACGCGGCGCGGGGAGGACAUCAAAGCCCCCGUCGUGUUUCGCAAUCCGCGCACCCCUCCACACGGGGUGCCGGGUUGUCGACCCACGACGUCGUGCUCGAUCUCUCGGAUGCGGAAAACCAAGCGGCUACGAGGCCACGGCCUCCACUGCCCCACACAAGAGCGUCUCACGCUCCCUGCGGACGACUGCCGAUCGGGUCUUGUUCCGUAGCCCUCGCGGCUCGGACCAUGCCCGCCCGGCGUCGACGAGGAAUGCUACCUGGUUGAUCCUGCCAGUAGU